AGCCCCUUGGCCCAGCUGGUUAAGGCGCACGACUGUUACGUAAGCCCCUAUUUCGUACUAUCGUGAGAUCGUGAGUUCGAGCCUCACAGGGGCAG
Mycena amicta is the source of this 95-nucleotide non-coding RNA. The record is from the annotation of a GenBank genome assembly. Lineage: Eukaryota; Fungi; Basidiomycota; Agaricomycetes; Agaricales; Mycenaceae.